Molecule: long non-coding RNA, 1056 nt
Organism: Cyprinodon tularosa
Lineage: Eukaryota; Metazoa; Chordata; Actinopteri; Cyprinodontiformes; Cyprinodontidae
Exons: 2
Source: RefSeq, a predicted model, not a curated record
UGUGACCGUGUACGUCACUUCCGCAAAAGCGCAAUUCAUUUAGGGUAGUUAGCGCCAUUUCUGUGGUGAAGAGACAGCAGCAACGAAGAAAAGAAAACUAACAGAGAGCAGACGUGUUCUAGUUGCUUCUUUGGAAAUAAUGGGACACUGGUGCUGCGUCAAAGGAUGCAAUAGUAAUUCUAAACAGAAAACAGCAGAUGGGGCCUUACGGUUUUUCGUAUUCCCCACUUGGAAAAAAAAUACGGACCGCAGACAGAGGACUUAACAAAGAGGCGUCGGGCUCCGUGGGUCGCUGCUGUAAGAAGGAAAGACAUCACGUUUCAUGAAAUAUCUCCUCAUGUUCGUGUUUGCUCUCGGCAUUUUCACAAAGGUCAACCCGCAUAUGAGAUGAUGGAGACUGACCCAGACUGGGCUCCAUCCCUGCAUCUGGGCCACACUGACAUCAGACCAACAGACACAGAACGCUCUUUAAGACGUGGUUAUCGGGAACAGCUGAAAAAGAAUGCCCUGCAAGCAACUGAAACGGGGCUCCAUCAGACUGAUGAAAGGACAGGAAGGACAGACAGAAUGUAACCUGUGUGUGCUCAGGUGUGCAGAGAUGAACCGUCUUUUGGAAGAAAACAGAGAGCUGCGGCGUGAACUUGAUGAGCUACAGAUCUCUGAUUGCUUCUUUGGAGACAGUAAUGAAAAAGUCAAGUACUAUACGGGUCUACCAAACUUGGCAACCUUUAUGGCCUCUCAUGUCUGCUCAAAAUAAAAUUCUCAGUCCAUUUCAAAUGCUUCUGUUAACCUUCAUGCGUCUGAGAUUGGAUCUGCCCUCACAACACCUUGCUUAUCUCUUCCGUGUUUCACCAAAGACAGUGUACAGAACAUUCAAUGAAAUGCUGUCAUUUUUAUAUGCAAAUCUAAAGCGUGCAAUUGUGUGGCCAGAUAGACACCUUGCACAAAAUUAUGCCUCAUCAGUUUGUGGAUGCCUUUGGACAUAGAGUCACAGUGAUUAUUGACUGUUUUGAAAUUUUCACAGAGAAACCAGCUAAUAAAUGAAUGCAAGAUCAA